RNAcentral lists this ribosomal RNA (253 nucleotides) under uncultured bacterium. RNAcentral describes it as "partial 16S ribosomal RNA". It matches the Rfam family "Bacterial small subunit ribosomal RNA", at positions 524 to 776 of the family's 1533-position model. The record is from RNAcentral.
UACGAAGGGGGCUAGCGUUGUUCGGAAUUACUGGGCGUAAAGCGCACGUAGGCGGAUUGUUAAGUUAGGGGUGAAAUCCCAGGGCUCAACCCUGGAACUGCCUUUAAUACUGGCAAUCUCGAGUCCGAGAGAGGUGAGUGGAAUUCCGAGUGUAGAGGUGAAAUUCGUAGAUAUUCGGAGGAACACCAGUGGCGAAGGCGGCUCACUGGCUCGGUACUGACGCUGAGGUGCGAAAGCGUGGGGAGCGAACAGG